This 484-nucleotide ribosomal RNA is filed under the name uncultured bacterium. Its description in RNAcentral is "partial 16S ribosomal RNA". It matches the Rfam family "Bacterial small subunit ribosomal RNA", at positions 30 to 507 of the family's 1533-position model. The record is from RNAcentral.
AUUGAACGCUGGCGGCAGGCCUAACACAUGCAAGUCGAGCGGAUGGAGGGAGCUUGCUCCUGGAUUCAGCGGCGGACGGGUGAGUAAUGCCUAGGAAUCUGCCUGGUAGUGGGGGAUAACGUCCGGAAACGGGCGCUAAUACCGCAUACGUCCUGAGGGAGAAAGUGGGGGAUCUUCGGACCUCACGCUAUCAGAUGAGCCUAGGUCGGAUUAGCUAGUUGGUGGGGUAAAGGCCUACCAAGGCGACGAUCCGUAACUGGUCUGAGAGGAUGAUCAGUCACACUGGAACUGAGACACGGUCCAGACUCCUACGGGAGGCAGCAGUGGGGAAUAUUGGACAAUGGGCGAAAGCCUGAUCCAGCCAUGCCGCGUGUGUGAGGAAGGUCUUCGGAUUGUAAAGCACUUUAAGUUGGGAGGAAGGGCAGUAAGUUAAUACCUUGCUGUUUUGACGUUACCAACAGAAUAAGCACCGGCUAACUUCGUG